AGUUUGAUCCUGGCUCAGGAUGAACGCUAGCUACAGGCUUAACACAUGCAAGUCGAGGGGAAACGAUAGAGAAAGCUUGCUUUUUCUAGGCGUCGACCGGCGCACGGGUGAGUAACGCGUAUCCAACCUGCCCAUCACUUGGGGAUAACCUUGCGAAAGUAAGACUAAUACCCAAUGACGUCCAUAGAAGACAUCUGAAAUGGAUUAAAGAUUUAUCGGUGAUGGAUGGGGAUGCGUCUGAUUAGCUUGUUGGCGGGGUAACGGCCCACCAAGGCGACGAUCAGUAGGGGUUCUGAGAGGAAGGUCCCCCACAUUGGAACUGAGACACGGUCCAAACUCCUACGGGAGGCAGCAGUGAGGAAUAUUGGUCAAUGGACGAGAGUCUGAACCAGCCAAGUAGCGUGCAGGAUGACGGCCCUAUGGGUUGUAAACUGCUUUUAUAAGGGAAUAAAGUGAGUCUCGUGAGGCUUUUUGCAUGUACCUUAUGAAUAAGGACCGGCUAAUUCCGUGCCAGCAGCCGCGGUAAUACGGAAGGUCCGGGCGUUAUCCGGAUUUAUUGGGUUUAAAGGGAGCGUAGGCCGGAGAUUAAGCGUGUUGUGAAAUGUAGAUGCUCAACGUCUGCACUGCAGCGCGAACUGGUUUCCUUGAGUACGCACAAAGUGGGCGGAAUUCGUGGUGUAGCGGUGAAAUGCUUAGAUAUCACGAAGAACUCCGAUUGCGAAGGCAGCUCACUGGAGCGCAACUGACGCUGAAGCUCGAAAGUGCGGGUAUCGAACAGGAUUAGAUACCCUGGUAGUCCGCACGGUAAACGAUGGAUGCCCGCUGUUGGUCUGAAUAGGUCAGCGGCCAAGCGAAAGCAUUAAGCAUCCCACCUGGGGAGUACGCCGGCAACGGUGAAACUCAAAGGAAUUGACGG
This 916-nucleotide ribosomal RNA is filed under the name uncultured bacterium. RNAcentral's name for it is "bacterial SSU rRNA". It matches the Rfam family "Bacterial small subunit ribosomal RNA", at positions 10 to 916 of the family's 1533-position model. The record is from RNAcentral.